This 83-nucleotide transfer RNA is filed under the name Schistocephalus solidus. It matches the Rfam family "tRNA". Rfam says of the family: Transfer RNA (tRNA) molecules are approximately 80 nucleotides in length. Their secondary structure includes four short double-helical elements and three loops (D, anti-codon, and T loops). Lineage: Eukaryota; Metazoa; Platyhelminthes; Cestoda; Diphyllobothriidea; Diphyllobothriidae. The record is from Rfam by way of RNAcentral.
UGCCUCGUGGCUCAGUUGGCUAGAGCGUUGGCUGUACUAAAGUAUUCCUCUGACUGGCGUGAGUUCGAAUCCCACUGAGGCCG